CAGGGAUAAAAGGAUUAUCAAGUGACUUGUUGUUGGAAAAGUUACUUGAAGGUGCCAUUGGUGUUUCUUUAGACUAGCAGUGAAAGUUGAAACAGAACAACCAACAUGUUAAAUCCUAGAAUGCAUCUAGCUCACAACUGAUCAAGUGGGGUGCUUGUGAAUACACACACACAACUUCAACCAUAAUCAAGGAACCAGUGCAAGUGAUCCAGGGGGAGAGGGCAUCAGCUCAUCUGUAUUUAGUUGAGUUGUGAAUAAUCUUGGUCUUUUUAGUUAUAUUACUAACAUGAAAAUUAAGUCUAUAAUCAAGGGGCAGACAAGACUUCCCAUAAGAAAUAGUGAAUGUUGUACUGGUAUCAAAGUUUAACCAUAUACUCCCAUAAACAAAUGAAACAUGGCUCCAGAAAUCAAGCAUUUGUACAAUGGUCCACGAAGCUAUUUCUAUGCAUCAAUCCAUGCAUAACAAGGUUGAAACUCAAAAGUAGCGGACUUUAUAUGGAAAAGUCCAUGUUUUGUGGAUUCAAAUGGCAGGCCAGCAACCACACCUCAUUCCAAGAAUACAAUGCAUCAAUAAGACAGAAAGGAGGAGUGGUCUGCCACGUCUCUCCAAAUAUGGGGAGUUGACAAAAAUGAAAUAAAACGCUCGAAUAUUUUACAAUAUAACCCUGGGAGAAUGCUAUCAAUUUGUGAUAAAGCUGAUGCUUGCUUAUGUGCUCAGAUCCAUGAUUCCGGAUAACAAACAACAUAAAAGAUGGGAUAAGAACAAAAUUGCAUAGGUCAAUUUCUCUUAUUGCUAAACUUUUCAGUUGAAUCUCUUUAAUUCAAUUAUUGGUUCCAGAAAUUAUUUCUGCAGCAGAACUUUACAGUCGAUUUUUCCCCAUAAAAUGGAAUUUCAGAAAAAACAUCAAACUCCAAUGGACAAAAAAGGAAUGAAGAACCAGAAAUCAAUUAUAAUAAAAUCCACAAAUUCAAGACUGGAUGGGGCAAUAGAACCUCAAAAAUAAAUCCAUCACUCGGAUACAGCAACACUAAAUUUCAAGAACAGGGAAAAAUUACAGCGUGCAAAGAGAGGAAAAA
This 1077-nucleotide long non-coding RNA is filed under the name Populus tremula. Its description in RNAcentral is "long non-coding RNA (PTRE_LNC002261)". Lineage: Eukaryota; Viridiplantae; Streptophyta; Magnoliopsida; Malpighiales; Salicaceae. The record is from RNAcentral.